RNAcentral lists this ribosomal RNA (119 nucleotides) under Pteropus alecto (black flying fox). The record is from RNAcentral. Lineage: Eukaryota; Metazoa; Chordata; Mammalia; Chiroptera; Pteropodidae. RNAcentral also lists the same sequence under 1 other name.
GUCUACGGCCAUGCUACCCUGAACAAGCCCCAUCUCAUCUGAUCUCGGAAGCUAAGCAGGGUUGGGCCUGGUUAGUAGUUGGAUGGGAGACCAUCUAGGAAGACCAGGUGCUGUAGGCG